This 439-nucleotide ribosomal RNA is filed under the name uncultured bacterium. Its description in RNAcentral is "partial 16S ribosomal RNA". It matches the Rfam family "Bacterial small subunit ribosomal RNA", at positions 338 to 795 of the family's 1533-position model. The record is from RNAcentral.
CCUACGGGUGGCAGCAGUGGGGAAUAUUGCACAAUGGGCGAAAGCCUGAUGCAGCAACGCCGCGUGAGCGAUGAAGGCCUUCGGGUCGUAAAGCCCUGUCCUCAAGGAAGAUAAUGACGGUACUUGAGGAAGAAGCCCCGGCUAACUACGUGCCAGCAGCCGCGGUAAUACGUAGGGGGCUAGCGUUAUCCGGAAUUACUGGGCGUAAAGGGUGCGUAGGUGGGUUCUUAAGUCAGAGGUGAAAGGCUAGGGCUCAACCGUAGUAAGCCUUUGAAACUGGGGAACUUGAGUUCAGGAGAGGAGAGUGGAAUUCCUAGUGUAGCGGUGAAAUGCGUAGAUAUUAGGAGGAACACCAGUUGCGAAGGCGGCUCUCUGGACUGUAACUGACACUGAGGCACGAAAGCGUGGGGAGCAAACAGGAUUAGAUACCCGAGUAGUC